RNAcentral lists this transfer RNA (67 nucleotides) under Petrosaurus mearnsi. RNAcentral describes it as "tRNA-Trp". Lineage: Eukaryota; Metazoa; Chordata; Lepidosauria; Squamata; Phrynosomatidae. The record is from RNAcentral.
AAGCUUAGGAUAACAUAAACCAAGAGCCUUCAAAGCCCUAAAUAGGGACUACAACCCCCUAGCUUCU